Molecule: ribosomal RNA, 465 nt
Filed under: uncultured bacterium
Lineage: Bacteria
Description: partial 16S ribosomal RNA
Rfam family: Bacterial small subunit ribosomal RNA
Source: RNAcentral
ACGAACGCUGGCGGCGUGCUUAACACAUGCAAGUCGAACGGAAAGGCCUCUUUCGGGGGGUACUCGAGUGGCGAACGGGUGAGUAACACGUGAGUAACCUGCCCUUGACUUUGGGAUAACUUCAGGAAACUGGGGCUAAUACCGGAUAGGAGCUCCUGCUGCAUGGUGGGGGUUGGAAAGUUUCGGCGGUUGGGGUGGACUCGCGGCUUAUCAGCUUGUUGGUGGGGUAGUGGCUUACCAAGGCUUUGACGGGUAGCCGGCCUGAGAGGGUGACCGGCCACAUUGGGACUGAGAUACGGCCCAGACUCCUACGGGAGGCAGCAGUGGGGAAUAUUGCACAAUGGGUGGAAGCCUGAUGCAGCAACGCCGUGUGCGGGAUGACGGCCUUCGGGUUGUAAACCGCUUUCGCUCAUGACGAAGCUUUGUGUGACGGUAGUGGGUAAAGAAGCACCGGCUAACUACGUG